ACUCCUACGGGAGGCAGCAGUGGGGAAUGAUUGCACAAUGGGCGCAAGCCUGAUGCAGCCAUGCCGCGUGUAUGAAGAAGGGCCUUCGGGUUGAUAAAGUACUUUCAGCAGUGAGGAAGGUGGGUAUGUUAAUAGCAUAUUCAUUUGACGUUAGCUGCAGAAGAAGCACCGGCUAACUCCGUGCCAGCAGCCGCGGUAAUACGGAGGGUGCGAGCGUUAAUCGGAAUUACUGGGCGUAAAGCGCAUGCAGGUGGUUUGUUAAGUCAGAUGUGAAAGCCCGGGGCUCAACCUCGGAAUUGCAUUUGAAACUGGCAAACUAGAGUACUGUAGAGGGGGGUAGAAUUUCAGGUGUAGCGGUGAAAUGCGUAGAGAUCUGAAGGAAUACCGGUGGCGAAGGCGGCCCCCUGGACAGAUACUGACACUCAGAUGCGAAAGCGUGGGGAGCAAACAGGAUUAGAUACCCUGGUAGCUACGAGU
RNAcentral lists this ribosomal RNA (477 nucleotides) under uncultured bacterium. Its description in RNAcentral is "bacterial SSU rRNA". It matches the Rfam family "Bacterial small subunit ribosomal RNA", at positions 335 to 802 of the family's 1533-position model. The record is from RNAcentral.